GUACUGCUUCUUCAGCAUCUCCAGCUUCUCCGCCACCUGGGUGGGAUCAGGGACCGGGGCCUCAGACACAGGACUCGAGGCCAGUUUGUUCCGGCUCAGGUCACGACUCCGUCAGGCGCUCCUUGGUCACGAAGCUCAAGGCUGGGGAGGGACGCGAGCUCCUGAGACCGAAGGCAGCGCGCAAGAGAGGAGCAGACAGCUCAGCAAGGACCGCCACGCCCACCUGAG
Oryctolagus cuniculus (rabbit) is the source of this 228-nucleotide non-coding RNA. The record is from RefSeq and is a predicted model, not a curated record. Lineage: Eukaryota; Metazoa; Chordata; Mammalia; Lagomorpha; Leporidae.